GAGAUGGGAAUGAAGACUGGGAGGCUGACCAGAGCCAGCCAGCGCAUGUGGGGACCCAGGUGUGCAGACAGAGUCCACUCUGCGUGUGCACACUUAUACGUGGUUCACAGAGCUUCUCCCAUUUGAGUGACCUCACCCACUCCUCACAGGAUAGCUCUCCAAGGUGAGUCUCACUGUCACCCCGCAUAAGGAGACUGAUGCUCAGAAAGGUAAGUGAUUUCCCCAGUAUAGGUCGGGGAGGGUCUGGAAUAGUGACAAAGUGGUGGGACCAGAGCCAGGGACCUGCCACUAGGAAAAGAGGGCAGUUAAGGCAAGCACAUGGAGGAGAGAGAGGAAUGGAAGAGGUGAAGUUAGGGGAGGGUGAGAGGGAGAAAGAGAAGGCAGCAUCAGAGUAGACGGUGUGUUUUAUCCAUAAACCCAGACUUGGGGAAAAUAGAUUUUCUUCUGUAUUAUUAUUUCUGUAUAUUUUAAAUCAAGUUUUAUUUUGAACAGCAGUAUAACUCCAUAACAAAAAAAUAAGCCAAAAAGGAAAAAAAAAUAAUUCCAUCUCUGGCAUUUGCUUCUCGUCUGAGCAGGUGGUCCACAGCCACUCAAAGUGUGGUCCACGGCCCGGUGCUGGUCUGCCAGAGAUUCGCCACUGUUUUUCAGCACAACAGGCCCAGAAAAUGAGAGUAAAUGUUUAGAAACUCUUACAGCAAUUGGACAUGGUUGUUUUCUGCCUGUUGAAUCUAUGAUUUAAAAGUUGGGCUUGUAUUUCAUGUAUCUGCUUUUCAUUUCAUUUUUAUUAUUUAUUUAUUUUAUUAUUUUUUUUUGAGACCAAGUCUCGCUCUGUCACCCAGGCUAGAGUGCAGUGUCACAAUCUCUGCUCACUGCAACCUCUGCCUCCCCGGUUCAAGCAAUUCUCCUGCCUCAGCCUCCCGAGUAGCUAGGAUUACAGGGGUGUAACACCACGCCCAGCUAAUUUUUGUAUUUUUAGUAGAGACGGGGUUUCACCAUGUUGGCUAGUCUGUUCUCGAACUCCUGACCUCAGGUGAUCUGCACCUGCACCGUCUUAGCCUCCCAAAGAGCUGGGAUUACAGGCAUGAGCCACCAAGCCUGGCCUGAUAACUUUUUAUUUUGAAAUAAUAAUAGACUCACAGGAAAUCACGAAAAAAGUACGUAAAAUCCCAUGAGCUGUUUACCCAGAUUCUUCCAAUGAUGACAUCUUAUAUAACAAUAAUACAAUACCCAAACCAGGAAAUGGACAUUCAUUUUCCUAAUAGGUAAUGAUUUUGAACAUCUUUUCCUGUGUUUUCUGCAACCCACAUAUCCUCUUUGGUGGACUGUCUGUUCGUGUCUUCUAGUUCUAUUUGGAUUUUUUUUCUGUUGAGUUUUGAGAGUUCUUUAUGUAUUUUAGAUACAAGUCCUUUGAUGGAUAUACAUUUAAUCAUUUAUUUUUACGAUAUUUUACAAAACUUUACAUUUGGGAUGGAUUGGAAAUUUUAUAAAAUCAAACUGGUCAAUCACCACUGACAGUUUGAGAAGCAAUCUUAGCAUCUUCUUGCCUUAAUGAAACAACCGCACCUGCACCAUAUUGAGUCCUGACUUUUUUCCCCAGAUAAUUUAUUAUAAAUAAUUUCUCCAACUUGCUCCAUAUCUUUAUAACCACCACUUACAAGGUUUGCACACCUUCCAUAGAGCAGCUGUACUGAGAUUUACUCAGCCAAUUCCCAAGGUUAGACAUGACGUUAUCACCCAUUUCAGGGUCUUAGAGAAACUCUGAGUCACUCACCUUUGGUCACAAGGCUUUCUCAAACAUUUUGGAUAGAAUGUUCUUAGUUUCCAUUCUCACCAUUAUAGUUCAACUUGCUCUUUCAUUAGAAUUUAGGCAUCAAGGUCAGACCAGAUUGCUGGUUGGCCACAUUCUGUGUUCUCAUGGAAACAAAAGAUCAGCGGCACUGAAUCCAAACCACCCGAGCAACCCGGCUUUUCCAGUCCCAGAUGCUUGAUGGCACGGCAACAGUGGAGUCACUAAGAAAUUUUACUUUAGUUCUAUCACAGCAAACUCCAAACCAGGGGUAGCAGUCAUCUGAAAAAUGCAGAGACUAUUUUAAAGGACAGACAAGUGCCUCAGAUAGCAUCAGAGAACAAUGCCUAAGGUGCAUGGAUGGAAGCCAGUCUGCACAAAAUGCUGAAAAUAGGUCGUUCUGAGCAAGGGGGUCAUGGAGAAGAAAGUACCAGCCCUCCAUUCCUUACGCCCACUAGGGCUUAUGUCUGGGAUCCUCACAGAGACUAGAAGUGUCUCCCAUCCCCAUCGCAGUCCCUGGCACUUCCUGGAUUGUCGAGCGGCUCCCUGCCUCUGCCCUUUUGUAUUCGGAGCUACAGCCUUGCCUCCCCUGUUCCCACCACCCUGACCACCCCUCAACACCAUCCCGCUGUCAGCUCCGCCGCCAACUGAGGCGACACCUGUUCAUGGAAACCCUGUGAGCCUCUUCUGUAUCCAUACACAAUAGGUAAUGUUGUUUUACGUGUUUCAAAACAUCAGUGUUGUCCAACAG
This 2537-nucleotide long non-coding RNA is filed under the name Homo sapiens (human). RNAcentral's name for it is "HSALNT0334059". Lineage: Eukaryota; Metazoa; Chordata; Mammalia; Primates; Hominidae. The record is from RNAcentral.